GCUCAGUUGGUUAAACAUCUAACUCUUGAUCUCAGCUCAGGUCUUGAUCUCAGGGUUGUGAGUUCAAGCCCCACACUGAGCU
RNAcentral lists this transfer RNA (82 nucleotides) under Canis lupus familiaris (dog). It matches the Rfam family "tRNA". From Rfam's summary of the family: Transfer RNA (tRNA) molecules are approximately 80 nucleotides in length. Their secondary structure includes four short double-helical elements and three loops (D, anti-codon, and T loops). Lineage: Eukaryota; Metazoa; Chordata; Mammalia; Carnivora; Canidae. The record is from Rfam by way of RNAcentral. RNAcentral also lists the same sequence under 2 other names.